RNAcentral lists this non-coding RNA (32 nucleotides) under Syntrophotalea carbinolica DSM 2380. Lineage: Bacteria; Pseudomonadati; Thermodesulfobacteriota; Desulfuromonadia; Desulfuromonadales; Syntrophotaleaceae. The record is from RNAcentral.
AUCGCCGCUCUUAAUGCAGCACUGGAAGACGA